CCUACGGGUGGCUGCAGUGGGGGAUAUUGCACAAUGGGGGAAACCCUGAUGCAGCGACGCCGCGUGUGGGAAGACGGUCUUCUGGAUUGUAAACCACUGUCCCCAGGGACGAAGAUGACGGUACCUGGGUAGGAAGCUCCGGCUAACUACGUGCCAGCAGCCGCGGUAAUACGUAGGUAGCGAGCGUUGUCCGGAAUUACUGGGUGAAAAGGGAGCGUAGGCGGGGAUGCAAGUUGGGUGUCAAACCUACCGGCUCAACUGGGAGUCGCACUCAAAACUGCAGGUCUUGAGUGAAGUAGAGGCAGGCGGAAUUCCUAGUGUAGCGGUGAAAUGCGUAGAUAUUAGGAGGAACACCAGCGGCGAAGGCGGCCUGCUGGGCUUUUACUGACGCUGAGGCUCGAAAGUGUGGGGAGCAAACAGGAUUAGAUACCCUUGUAGUC
RNAcentral lists this ribosomal RNA (440 nucleotides) under uncultured bacterium. Its description in RNAcentral is "partial 16S ribosomal RNA". It matches the Rfam family "Bacterial small subunit ribosomal RNA", at positions 338 to 795 of the family's 1533-position model. The record is from RNAcentral.